Cervus hanglu yarkandensis (Yarkand deer) is the source of this 83-nucleotide small nucleolar RNA. The record is from Ensembl. NCBI's taxonomy places the organism in Eukaryota, Metazoa, Chordata, Mammalia, Artiodactyla, Cervidae.
GAUAUCAAAACCACACUUUCGCUCCCUGACCUAUAUAGGCCUCUGCUAUGGGGGUGAUGGCCAGUCCUGGUGUCUGAGUGGUU